Halichondria panicea is the source of this 991-nucleotide long non-coding RNA. RefSeq lists it as uncharacterized. The record is from RefSeq and is a predicted model, not a curated record. NCBI's taxonomy places the organism in Eukaryota, Metazoa, Porifera, Demospongiae, Suberitida, Halichondriidae. The transcript has 4 exons.
GUAAAAUUAAUGAUCUCAUUAUAUGGACAUUAUAGUUGAUAUUGCAUUUCUAGAAAGCACCUGAAAGUAAUACUCGUUGUUCUGGGCAACGUAGUGUGCAACAGAGUCCUGUUAAACACAUGGUAAAAGCACUAAAACAGGCAAAGGAGAAAUUACUAGAGGAAAACGCUCCAUCUACUCUCAGCCACAAAGCAGGAGAAAAGAAAAGGAAGAGGUGCAAUGAAUGCUCUGAGUGCAAAAAAGAGGAUUGUGGUUCAUGUCAUACAUGCAAAGAUUCAUACAUGCAAAGAUAUGCUAAAAUUUGGGGGCAGUGGACGCAAAAAACAAUGCUGUCAAUAUAGAAAAUGCAGAGCAUUAAAUUCAGCAAAAUGUCCUUGGGUAACCAAGACGUCAAGGUGGUUUGGAUCUGCAUUACUUAAUGAAAUAAUCACACAGAUAAACACAAGUGUAACCAUGAAGAUGGACGGAAGAUUGACCAAGUAUUAGGUGCUAAACAGUUAACAGGUGAUUCAGACAAACAUGGCAUACUAAGAGAAAAGCUAUGUGAAUUUAUCACUGUAAACAGUGAGCUUCUAGAGGAGUGGGUCACAGCAGGGGUAACUUUUGAAGAAUACCUGGCCUCUGUCACUAAGCCAGCUGGAACUUAAAGCAGCAGCAACGCUGUUCAACCUUGAUAUAUAUGUUGCCACGAAUUCUCUGCUAACCAGUGGAUAUUACAUCUGGACAAUGAUAUCUCCACUCAAACCCGUCAGUUCGUGUUGUUUUCUAGAUAAAGAGUGGCUCAUUCAUUUCAACUCUCAACGUAAAUCAUGGCUAGAGAUAUGUCACCAAAAUGGAUGCCAUUAUGAUUGCAUAAAUUCAAUCCAAUGAUAACCAUCUUACCCCCUCCUCUGAAGCUAGGAGAGAGUGCAAACAUCACUAUUUUAUGAACUGAUUUUACCUGUAGACUAUCUCUGUUCCCAAGUAGUACUAGUCACAGUGUACAUUAUAC